GACGAACGCUGGCGGCGUGCUUAACACAUGCAAGUCGAACGGUGAAAGGGAGCUUGCUCCCUGGAUCAGUGGCGAACGGGUGAGUAACACGUGGGCAACCUGCCCCAGACUUCGGGAUAACGCUUCGAAAGAGGUGCUAAUACCGGAUACGAACUCCCUUGGCAUCCUGGGAGUUGGAAAGUUUUUCGGUCUGGGAUGGGCCCGCGGCCUAUCCGCUUGUUUGUGAGGUUACGGCUCACCAAGGCGACGACGGGUAGCCGGCCUGAGACGGCGACAGGCCACACUGGGACGGAGUCACGGCCCAGACUCCUACAGGAGGCAGCAGUGGGGAAUAUUGCGCAAUGGGCGAAAGCCUGACGCAGCAACGCCGCGGGAGGGAUGACGGCCUUCGGGUUGUAAACCUCUUUCAGCAGGGAAGAAGCGAAAGUGACGGUACUUGAGGAGGAAGCCCCGGCUAACUACGUGCCAGCCGCCGCAGUAA
RNAcentral lists this ribosomal RNA (481 nucleotides) under uncultured bacterium. RNAcentral describes it as "partial 16S ribosomal RNA". It matches the Rfam family "Bacterial small subunit ribosomal RNA", at positions 28 to 523 of the family's 1533-position model. The record is from RNAcentral.